RNAcentral lists this ribosomal RNA (449 nucleotides) under uncultured bacterium. Its description in RNAcentral is "bacterial SSU rRNA". It matches the Rfam family "Bacterial small subunit ribosomal RNA", at positions 29 to 524 of the family's 1533-position model. The record is from RNAcentral.
AGCGAACGCUGGCGGCAGGCCUAAUACAUGCAAGUCGAACGGUCUCUUCGGAGGCAGUGGCGGACGGGUGAGUAACGCGUGGGAAUAUGCCCUUUGGUACGGAACAACUGAGGGAACUUCAGCUAAUACCGUAUGUGCCCUUCGGGGGAAAGAUUUAUCGCCAUUGGAGUAGCCCGCGUCGGAUUAGCUAGUUGGUGAGGUAAAGGCUCACCAAGGCGACGAUCCGUAGCUGGUCUGAGAGGAUGAUCAGCCACACUGGGACUGAGACACGGCCCAGACUCCUACGGGAGGCAGCAGUGGGGAAUAUUGGACAAUGGGCGAAAGCCUGAUCCAGCCAUGCCGCGUGAGUGAUGAAGGCCUUAGGGUUGUAAAGCUCUUUCACCCACGACGAUGAUGACGGUAGUGGGAGAAGAAGCCCCGGCUAACUUCGUGCCAGCAGCCGCGGUAAU